UGACUNGAGUGCAGAAGGGGAGAGUGGAAUUCCAUGUGUAGCGGUGAAAUGCGUAGAUAUAUGGAGGANCACCAGUGGCGAAAGCGGCUCUCUGGUCUGUCACUGACGCUGAGACUCGAAAGCGUGGGUAGCGAACAGGAUUAGAUACCCUGGUAGUCCACGCCGUAAACGAUGAGUGCUAGGUGUUAGGCCCUUUCCGGGGCUUAGUGCCGGAGCUAACGCAAUAAGCACUCCGCCUGGGGAGUACGACCGCAAGGUUGAAACUCAAAGGAAUUGACGGGGGCCCGCACAAGCGGUGGAGCAUGUGGUUUAAUUCGAAGCAACGCGAAGAACCUUACCAGGUCUUGACAUCCCGAUGCUAUUCUUAGAGAUAGGAAGUUACUUCGGUACAUCGGAGACAGGUGGUGCAUGGUUGUCGUCAGCUCGUGUCGUGAGAUGUUGGGUUAAGUCCCGCGACGAGCGCAACCCUUAUUGUUAGUUGCCAUCAUUAAGUUGGGCACUCUAGCGAGACUGCCGGUAAUAAACCGGAGGAAGGUGGGGAUGACGUCAAAUCAUCAUGCCCCUUAUGACCUGGGCUACACACGUGCUACAAUGGUCGGUACAACGAGUUGCGAGCCGGUGACGGCAAGCUAAUCUCUGAAAGCCGAUCUCAGUUCGGAUUGGAGGCUGCAACUCGCCUCCAUGAAGUCGGAAUCGCUAGUAAUCGCGGAUCAGCACGCCGCGGUGAAUACGUUCCCGGGCCUUGUACACACCGCCCGUCUCACCACGAGAGUUUGUAACACCCGAAGUCGGUGAGGUAACCUUUUAGGGGCCAGCCGC
This 819-nucleotide ribosomal RNA is filed under the name uncultured bacterium. Its description in RNAcentral is "bacterial SSU rRNA". It matches the Rfam family "Bacterial small subunit ribosomal RNA", at positions 638 to 1456 of the family's 1533-position model. The record is from RNAcentral.